This 614-nucleotide ribosomal RNA is filed under the name Paenibacillus jamilae. RNAcentral describes it as "bacterial SSU rRNA". It matches the Rfam family "Bacterial small subunit ribosomal RNA", at positions 149 to 747 of the family's 1533-position model. Lineage: Bacteria; Bacillati; Bacillota; Bacilli; Caryophanales; Paenibacillaceae. The record is from RNAcentral.
ACCGGAAACGGUAGCUAAUACCCGAUACAUCCUUUUCCUGCAUGGGAGAAGGAGGAAAGGCGGAGCAAUCUGUCACUUGUGGAUGGGCCUGCGGCGCAUUAGCUAGUUGGUGGGGUAAAGGCCUACCAAGGCGACGAUGCGUAGCCGACCUGAGAGGGUGAUCGGCCACACUGGGACUGAGACACGGCCCAGACUCCUACGGGAGGCAGCAGUAGGGAAUCUUCCGCAAUGGGCGAAAGCCUGACGGAGCAACGCCGCGUGAGUGAUGAAGGUUUUCGGAUCGUAAAGCUCUGUUGCCAGGGAAGAACGUCUUGUAGAGUAACUGCUACAAGAGUGACGGUACCUGAGAAGAAAGCCCCGGCUAACUACGUGCCAGCAGCCGCGGUAAUACGUAGGGGGCAAGCGUUGUCCGGAAUUAUUGGGCGUAAAGCGCGCGCAGGCGGCUCUUUAAGUCUGGUGUUUAAUCCCGAGGCUCAACUUCGCGUCGCACUGGAAAACUGGGAGAGCUUGAGUGCAGAAGAGGAGAGUGGAAUUCCACGUGUAGCGGUGAAAUGCGUAGAGAUGUGGAGGAACCACCAGGUGGCGAAGCGACUCUCUGGGCUGUAACUGACGCU